This is a long non-coding RNA of Neodiprion virginianus, 389 nucleotides long. RefSeq lists it as uncharacterized. Lineage: Eukaryota; Metazoa; Arthropoda; Insecta; Hymenoptera; Diprionidae. The record is from RefSeq and is a predicted model, not a curated record. The transcript has 4 exons.
GUUGCUACUGCACACAAUUCUCUUCGCGGUGACAUGUCAUGGCGGAAGGAGCAGCAGGCAGUCAUAGCGUGACCUUAAUUCUUUCGAUCGUAAUCGACUUCUGACGGUAGUUAUAUCUAUUCGAUGCCCAUCGCAUCCGCGCCAAGCAGCGUUAUAUGCGAAGAAUAAAAUUUAUCACGAAAGUGAUCGCCGCUUUCACCAGGCACAGGAUGAGAGACUGAAGUUGUUAACGUUAACGUAACGAAACGUCAGGAAAAAAAUCGUCGUUGUUAGGCAAUUUUAGAGUGACUUUUAAGGAGUUAGUAACGUUACUAUAACGAUGCAUGUUUGGAAAAAAGCUCUACUUCGCACCUUUAGGAAUUUUGAAAUUCAAGUGAAACAUCAUACAA